UGAUACAUAGGGCCAUCUUAGGAUCUGUCGAGCGCAUGCUUGCGAUCCUUUUGGAACAUUAUAAAGGGAAGUGGCCUUUUUGGCUUAGUCCUCGUCAAGCCAUUGUCUGUCCUGUAUCUGAGAAGUCUCAAGCAUAUGCUUUACAGGUACGUGAUCAAAUACAUCAAGCUGGUUACUAUGUUGAUGUCGAUACGAGUGACAGGAAAAUUCAAAAGAAGAUUCGUGAAGCUCAACUUGCCCAGUAUAACUAUACCUUGGUAGUUGGUGAAAAGGAAGUAGAAAACGGACAGGUAAGUGUGCGCAUUAGAGACCGAUCUGAUCAUUCAGUGAAGAGCAUUUCAGAUCUUCUCCAGGAUUUCAAGG
Molecule: unclassified non-coding RNA, 363 nt
Filed under: Hevea brasiliensis (rubber tree)
Lineage: Eukaryota; Viridiplantae; Streptophyta; Magnoliopsida; Malpighiales; Euphorbiaceae
Source: RNAcentral